CCAAAUCCCUAAUUUCCGCCAUUCCCCUUGACCUGAACGGAACGUCGCAUUUUGAGUAUCUGAAGUGGAAACCCUACCGACACCGUUACCAACGACAAUGGCGAAUACUAGACGGGAGCUACUGGACCGGUGGAGAGGCAUCGAGAAAGAAGAAGAAGAAAACGCCGACGACGAUAAUCUUCAUCCCUCUAAGCUUCGUCGCCUCCACCUCCUCAAAGAACAAUGGUUUGCAGAUGCAUAUAAUUUUCUAAUAUGUUUGCCGUGUGAAGAUCAUAUCUGGUGUGGCUUUUGGGAUAUAAUGGGCCCCCUUUUGGAGACCUUUUACAAUUACUUCAAAGAUGACCGCCAAGAUUCACCUCUUAGGCGGUUAUGGAAGAGAAUGUCUGAUGAAAUGAGGCACUGCUUGCAAUGCAUUUCUCAGCAUCAUCAAGCCCAAGACAUGUAUGAUAUGGAGUAUGAGUCCAGCUCUAUCGGUCCUCUUCUCGAUAUCUUGCAAAAGCUUGAUUAUGAGAGGGUGACAUCACACUUGAGAGAUAUCAAUGCUAAAGUAACAGGGGAAGAAUAUGAUUCUGGUCGUGAUAAUGCUGAAGUUGUUAAUGUCUUGUAUGAGGUAUUGAUGUUCCCACUCCUCUUAGAUUAUCAGCCUCUAUUCACUGAGUUUGAGUUGUUUGUUGAAGCUAUUGAUAAUAAGCAUGAACUGGUUUUGUCUGGGCAUCAACAAUUUCCGGGAGUGUAUGCAUUACUUUUUUGCAAGAGAAGUGUUCGUUCUGUUGGAUAUCGCUUAGCAGGGUCAAUGGGAAAACUGAGGAGAGCAACGGACUUGGAACCUUUGCAGCCCUUACUUAAGAAAUUUAUUGGCAGUUUAGAGGCAGAUGCUUUACCACUGGAUUUGGAGACUUCACCUAGAAUUCAGCUGGAUCGUGUGUCUUCAUGGAUUGGUAUCAAAUCACUACUUGGCUUCUUGGAUCCUCCAACUUUUGAAGAAGGGAUAUUGGAACGUUAUCCCUUUUUUCUUGAUAUUGUACUCAAUCAUAUCAGUGGUGAUUCACUUGAAUUUUCACAUGCUGUUACUUGCUUGAGACAACUUUUCGAAAUGCUAGGUUGUAAGCUUUGGUUAAGGUCUACAUUGUCUCCAAGUGUAAUGCACAACACUCUAAUUGGUCAAUGCUUCCAUACUCGCAACGAGAAAAUCCAUAAAGAUAUUUUUGGUCUAUUCCAACCUUUUCUACAGUCUCUUGAAGCUUUGCAAGACGGGGAGCAUGAAAAGCAACGUAGGCAUUUUCUCUAUUUUCUCCUCCAUCAAGUGCCAGUGAGCAGUAACUUCAGCAUUCUAACAAGAAAAUUGGCAUGUCAGAUAGCACUUCUUGUUGUACACCGAGGUUACAAGAUGAACCCGCCCUGCCCUCCUUUUGAGUGUGCACAUAUGUGGGGGCCUUCCCUUGUUUCAUCUCUGAAGGACUCCUCGCUUCACAGUUCUCUCAGGCAACCUGCUUUUGACCUUGUAGAGACUAUCAUAGUAUCAGAUGCUACUGCUUUAAUAUAUUCAGUGCUGAAUUGCGGCACAGCUUCAAGCACUGUUAGUAGCAUGACAUAUGAGGUCAUUGAUUUGGAUAAUGAAAAUGAUAUUUGGUUACCAAAUAUUCUUCUAGAUGGUGAAGAGCAGGAUAGUAGUACUAAUAGUUCUUGGAGUCAAUUCAGUAUGCAGAGUGGGAUAACUUCUCAAGUCUUCCGAGAGUGGAUGUGCAUUCCAAUGUUAUGGGUUGAUGUUUUAGUUGAUACCAAUCUCUCACUCCUUCCAAUCUCAGUUUCGAAAGCUGUUUUCUGGGCACGAUCUCAUUUUCCUAUGGUAGAACUUGAGAGUAGUGCAGAAAUGGUGCUUCCUGUCAUGUCUUGCCUUUCAUCUUUUGCUGCAGAAUUAUCCUCUUCAUUUGGGUGGAAGGUUCCAACUGGCUCUGAUGAUGGUGGAGAUGGAAACAAAUCAAAAAACUCAGUUGAAGUGUUGACUAUGUCUUGUCCUUUGAUAAGAACAUUUAAAAGGUUAACAACACAUUUUCUAGUUCAGAUGAGACAAGGAGAGCUUCGAAGUCGGUGGAUUUGGGAACCACUGAUGAGUGAGAGCUUGAUCCUUUCGCUUUUGGAUCCGAACGAUGAUGUUAGACAAUUUGGAAAGUCUAUGUUGGAACAAGUGUCAGAUACCCGAGGUCUUUCAUGUGGAUUGCAGUUUCUUUGUUCUAACAAGUCCUCGUUGUAUGCAACUACUUUGGGCUUCAAACAUGCUAUGAAACUGGUUCAACUGGAUUCUGUUCUAUUGAAAUUUCAUACUCUACAUCAUUUUUGGUUUCUUUUAUGCAAAUUACUCAAAGACGGAGGUCUACCUGCUCCAGAGUUGCCUGAAAAUACACCUAGUGAGUUAAGGGUGCCUAGAUUCUCUUCACAAGGCGGGUUUCUGAAGCAGCCAGAUUUUGAUUCUCUGCCUGUGGAUAUCGAUAAACAUGUUAUCGAUGUCGAAUUGAAAACAAAGGAAAAAUUUAGUUGCUUACUAUCUGAAAUGGCAUGGCCUAUUUUCUGUAGGUGCCUGGUAAAAGGCAAGGAAUUUAUUGAUUACAAUCUUUGCCAGAUGACUUGUGUUAGGUUACUUGAGAUUUUUCCUGUUCUUGUUGAUCAACUCCACCUUUUUGGUGGUAAAGAUCCGGGGAAUUUCACAAUGCUGGUAAAAAAUAAAUUGGGUUUCAAAUGGCUUCAUGAUCUCAUGGAAUGGGGGAAGUCAUCACUUAAAGUUGUAAUUGUUUACUGGAAGCGAGCCAUUACUUAUUUACUGAAUCUGUUUAAAAGUUCUUAUGAUAAGACUUCUCUGUCAACAAUCAUGAUCAUUGAAAAUCUUAUUUCGACUGAUGCUUACAGCUUGGAGGAAUUGACAGAACAAGUGUCUGGCCUGUCUGUCUCUCUGUCUAGGGAAGGCACUCAUAAUUUUCAGGAGGCAAAUGUGAAUCCCAAAUCAUUGAUAUCUGAAAGCUGGCCUAUUAAAAAGAACUGUUUUACUUCACAUAUCCAUUCUUCAUCCAUGGAGGAUAUAGGUGUACAAAUUGUGGACUCGAAAAUGACACCUGACGAAAAGGAUACUGAAACUGUAAUUAUUCUUUCGGAUGAUGAAGUGGAACCACAAGAUCUUUCCAAGAAGGUCAUUUUAUCAGUUAGUGAGGCAGGCCACCACAUAUCUGAUGGCAAUAAAAUACCCUGUUAUGCUGGUAAUACUUUACCAACUCCUGACCUUGCUAUCCAGAAUGUUUCUUACAAGAAAACUUCCAAUGAAAUGAAGGAGACCUUCCAGAGAAAGGACAAUACUGAAGUUUUCAGCCUUUCUUCUCAGAAACAAGACUCUAGGUAUGUACAUGAUAAGCUUGAGGCCACUUCAUUUGUUGAUUCAGAAGGCUCAGACAGUUGUAGGGGGGAAGCUAGCUCAAAAUCCAAGGUUAGGAUCAAUUUGGCAAAAAAUUCUUCCGAAGCUGUCAAUGCUAAAAAUUUGAGUAAAGCUUGCAGGAGUACAACUUCCAAAACUGCUGACACUAUGUCAAGUACUGGUUAUAAACAGUUAAGCGAUUCUCAGAAUUCUGAAGAUGAUCUGCUAAAGACUGCAUUUAAAUCUGUGGAACGUAUCCAGUUGCAUGUACCAAAGCCUACUUCAGUCUUGAGAAGACAGGUGAUUCAACUCAGAACACCUCUUGAAAACAGAUCUGGAGGUCUCCAUAAAUUAGAGGACCCAGUGAAAAGAUUCAAGCCACCAAGGUUGGAUGAUUGGUAUAAACCUAUUCUUGAAAUUGAUUAUUUUGCGACAGCUGGAUUGUCAUCUGCAAGAAAAGAUGAAAACAAAAUUGUUAACAAAUUAAAGGAAGUUCCUGUAUAUUUUCCAUCACCUGAACAGUACGUGGAUAUAUUUCGGCCAUUGGUUUUGGAGGAGUUUAAAGCACAGUUACAAAAUUCUUUUUUUGAAUUGUCUUCAUGGGAGGAGAUGUUUUAUGGAAUCCUUUCUGUGAUUUCAGUGGAGAGAGUUGAUGAUUUCCAUCUUGUUCGUUUUGUCCACGAUGAUGGUGAUUCAGCAACAUGCAGGAGCUUUUCAGAAAAUGACUUGCUUUUGCUAACAAAAGAUCAUCCACAAAAAUCUUCUCAUGAUGUUCAUAUGGUUGGAAAGGUGGAAAGGCGUGAGAAAGACUAUAAAAGAAGUUUAAGUAUUGUUCUCAUCCGGUUCUAUUUUCAAAAUGGUUCCUCACGUUUAAAUCUAGCUAGAAGGAAUCUCACUGAACGAAGUAAAUGGCAUGCAUAUCGUUUAAUGAACAUUACUCCACAAAUUCGAGAAUUUCAUGCAUUGUCGUCAGUAAAAUACAUUCCCUUGCUUCCACUCAUUUUAAACCCUACCAAGGAUUCCUCUUGUCUUGAUGAAUGCAAAAAAAUAGAUCUCAGUAAAUUGUGCCAGUCAUUGCAGCGGACUCUGAGAUCAUCAUUUAAUGUUAGUCAACUUGAAGCAAUAAGUGAUGCUAUUGGAAGGGCUAAACCAAAGAAAACUGUUGAGUUAUCUCUUAUUCAGGGUCCUCCAGGAACUGGGAAGACGCAGACUAUUGUUGCGAUUGUCAGUGCCCUUCUAGCUUCUUCUCCACAAAAGAUGAAUUGUCUACAAAAUUCCUUAAAUGAAAACUUAAACCAAAAUUCUUUUUCUACUACCUAUUCGAGACCAAAGAUUAGCCAGAGUGGUGCCAUUGCAAGGGCAUGGCAGGAUGCAGCCUUGGCUAGACAAUUAAAUGAUGAUCUCCAGAGUUCAUCAAAAUCUUCUGAAAAUUGUAUGAGACAAAGAGUGCUUAUCUGUGCUCAAUCUAAUGCUGCUGUGGAUGAAUUGGUAUCAAGAAUUUCUAGCCAUGGUCUUUAUGGAAGUAACGGGAAAAUGUACAAGCCUUAUAUUGUGAGGGUUGGAAAUGCAAAAACAGUCCAUCCAAAUUCUCUGCCAUUCUUUAUUGACACACUUGUUGACCAACGUGUAGCAGAAGAGAGGAUGCAUUCAAAUGAUGGGAAGAAUGAUUUGAGGAUAGAUUCAUCAGCGGGGCUGCGGUCUAAUUUGGAGAAACUCGUUAAUUCUAUUAGGUUGUAUGAAGCCAAGCGUGCUAACGUAAGGGAUGGGAAUUCUAAUGUUAAAAGUCAACCACAUGGCGACUCUCAUAUGGGGCAUGAAAAGGAGAUGUCUGAUGCAGAAAUUGAAAUGAAGCUGCGUAAACUAUAUGAACAGAAAAGACAAAUAUAUAAAGAUCUUAGUAAUGUGCAGGCUCAGGAGAAGAAAGCCAAUGAAGAAACCAAGUCUCUGAAGACUAAGUUGCGGAAGUCUAUUCUAAGGGAAGCUGAAAUAGUGGUAACUACACUAAGUGGAUGUGGUGGGGACCUUUAUGGAGUUUGCUCGGAGAGAAUUUUAAGCUCCAAGUUUCGGGGUUCAUCUGAACAUACCCUCUUUGAUGCUGUUAUAAUUGAUGAAGCUGCUCAAGCUCUUGAGCCAGCUACUUUGAUUCCUCUUCAGCUUUUAAAAUCAAGUGGAACCAAAUGCAUUAUGGUUGGUGACCCAAAGCAGCUUCCUGCAACUGUACUAUCAAAUGUUGCAAGUAAAUUUCUUUAUGAGUGCAGCAUGUUUGAACGUUUACAAAGGGCUGGGCAUCCUGUUAUUAUGCUCACUGAACAGUAUAGAAUGCAUCCAGAGAUAUGCAAGUUUCCUUCGUUGCAUUUCUAUGACAACAAGUUACUAAAUGGCUGCCAAACUUCUAGCAAAUCAGCACCAUUUCAUCAGACCAAGGGUCUCGGGCCUUAUGUAUUCUAUGAUAUUACUGAUGGGCGGGAGGUUCGUGGGAAAAACUCAGGUGCAAUGUCACUUUGUAAUGAUCAAGAAGCUGAUGCUGCAGUUGAAUUACUAAGUUUUCUCAAGAAAAGGUACCCAACUGAAUUUAUUGGUGGAAGAAUUGGCAUUAUUACUCCAUACAAGCGUCAACUUUCUCUUCUGCGAUCUCGUUUUCUUAAUGCAUUUGGAUCUUCAAGCAUAGAUGACAUCGAAUUUAACACUGUGGAUGGUUUCCAAGGAAGGGAGGUGGAUAUAUUGCUACUUUCUACUGUAAGAGCAACGCAUGCUAGCAUCGCUGCAUCUAAAAGCAACUCAAGUUCUAUUGGAUUUGUGGCGGAUAUAAGACGGAUGAAUGUUGCUUUGACAAGGGCCAGGCUAUCACUUUGGAUUUUGGGUAAUGCAAGAACUUUACAGACAGACCAUAACUGGGCUGCUCUUGUUAAGGAUGCUAAAGAAAGAAACUUGGUCAUGACGGCUAAGAUGCCUUAUCAUUCAAUAUUUGAAACAGCUAAAGAUAAGUGUGUUUUUGAAAAUUCUGAUAAUCAUGCUAGACCACUGAAGCAUGAAAAGGUUAAAGAUAGUGGCCACAAGGUGACACAGGUUUUGGUUAAUGACAAUGGUACCUUUGAGAGGAAAAAGAAAUCUGCUGCUUCUAAAGUAAAGGACAAAAAUAAGGGCAGUGAGGAAGAAAAUACCAUUUCAGCUUUGGUAAAAAGUGCUCAAUGUAACGAAAAAAAUUCCAAAGAUGAGCAUGUCUCCAAAAAGAAGGAUACGACAUGUCUAGCUGCAAAACGUGAAAGCAGAAGCUCCUGUGAUGGUGCGGUCACAAUGUUAGAUCAACCAGUUUGCAAUGGUGGACGAGAAGGCAAACAUAAAGUUAAGACUAACAUGGGAAGGACAACAUUGAAUAAAAGACAAUCAAAUUCAAGGAAUAGUUUUGAUCAUCCAGUGGAAGAGACAGAUGGUGGAGAAAAGGCAUCAAAACUUCCCAGAGGGGAUAGGAGCAGUUCUACGGAAGUUUCUGCUUCCGCAAUAAAAGGAUGUCAUAAAGAGAGAGAUGCAGAUAGUCAAGGUAGAGCUCCUAAUCACAAUAAAGCUGCUGAAAUUUCAAAAAGGAAACAACAGCGUGAAGCUGUUGAUGCUAUUCUUUACUCAUCUUUGAUAUCUACAAAGAAGGAUGAGAGAUCGACAAAAGUUUCUGUGAAAAGGCCUGUUUCAUCAUCUGUAGCAAAUGCGAGCAUGAAACCAACCAAGAAAAGAAGUGGUUCAAUGUUUUAGGUUAUGUCACCCUAAAGAUGACAUAAAGGAACAGAAGACUUCCCCAGAGUUUAUAGCAGUGACAAUUUAUGCAGUGAGACCAGAUCAAUGAACAUGGGAUUAAGGAAGGAACGAUUUUUCUGAGGACAAGGCUGAAGCUUCACAUCUUUGUUCUGAUAACCUUUUCGACUUCUCUUGGAUGAAGAUUUUUUGCUUCGCAGCUGCUGCUUUCCAAUCGAUGAUCUAAUGGAGAGUGGAUUGUAGUUAAUUGUGAUAUGGAGAUCACCGGAAAUUUUGAAGUGAUUUAGUUUAUUCCGGUGAAUGUUGGCUAUGGAUGAGGAACAAUAGCUAUUUGUAUAUAUAGCGGCAGAUUUGUGUAAAUGCAACGAAUUUUCUUCAAAGUUGGAAUAAUUGUAUCAUUUUGUUCCUAAUGAUGAAAAGAAUAAGUGACUGCAGAUCUCCUUUUAUAAACGUUUUCGAUCCGUGUAUUAUAAAACGGUGGCAACACAAAUAUAUCAUUGUUUUCUCUAUCUCUUUUCUUGUCACUUCA
Lotus japonicus is the source of this 7670-nucleotide RNA transcript. RefSeq lists it as uncharacterized. The record is from RefSeq and is a predicted model, not a curated record. The transcript is spliced from 23 exons. Lineage: Eukaryota; Viridiplantae; Streptophyta; Magnoliopsida; Fabales; Fabaceae.